This 92-nucleotide non-coding RNA is filed under the name Stenotrophomonas maltophilia. The record is from RNAcentral. Lineage: Bacteria; Pseudomonadati; Pseudomonadota; Gammaproteobacteria; Lysobacterales; Lysobacteraceae.
CUUUAUGGCGGGCGGUGCGUGGGGGUCUUCGGACCCGCCGGUUAUUGACAACUGUCUGUCCCGGUUUGGAACCCGCACCGUCCGCCACCUCU